GUGCAUGCAUCAGCAGCACAUAUCCUAAUAUUGGUAUGAUACAGAGAACAUUAACAUGGCUCCUGUACAAGGUAACAUGCAAAUUCAUAAAGUGUUCCAUAUUUAC
Small nuclear RNA from Jaculus jaculus (lesser Egyptian jerboa), 106 nucleotides. NCBI's taxonomy places the organism in Eukaryota, Metazoa, Chordata, Mammalia, Rodentia, Dipodidae. The record is from Ensembl.